This is a small nuclear RNA of Capra hircus (goat), 102 nucleotides long. The record is from Ensembl. Lineage: Eukaryota; Metazoa; Chordata; Mammalia; Artiodactyla; Bovidae.
UUGCUUUGGCAGCGUACAUGCUAACACUGAAGCGAUGCAGACAAGAUAGCCUGGGCCCCGUGCAAGGAUGACACGCAGAUUUGUGAAACAUUCCAUAUAGUU